UACGGAGGGAGCUAGCGUUGUUCGGAAUUACUGGGCGUAAAGCGCGCGUAGGCGGUUUUUUAAGUCAGAGGUGAAAGCCCAGUGCUCAACACUGGAACUGCCUUUGAAACUGGAAAAACUUGAAUCUUGGAGAGGUCAGUGGAAUUCCGAGUGUAGAGGUGAAAUUCGUAGAUAUUCGGAAGAACACCAGUGGCGAAGGCGACUGACUGGACAAGUAUUGACGCUGAGGUGCGAAAGCGUGGGGAGCAAACAGGAUUAGAUACCCCUGUAGUC
This 273-nucleotide ribosomal RNA is filed under the name uncultured bacterium. RNAcentral's name for it is "partial 16S ribosomal RNA". It matches the Rfam family "Bacterial small subunit ribosomal RNA", at positions 524 to 795 of the family's 1533-position model. The record is from RNAcentral.